RNAcentral lists this long non-coding RNA (1518 nucleotides) under Rattus norvegicus (Norway rat). RNAcentral describes it as "long non-coding RNA NONRATT019824". The record is from RNAcentral. Lineage: Eukaryota; Metazoa; Chordata; Mammalia; Rodentia; Muridae.
UCCAUGGGGCUGGGGACUGUCAGGAUUUCACACAGGGCAAUUCACUUCAUAUUGGUCCUAAGAUUGAGCCUGUGAUGGGGCUGGGAUGUAGCUCAGGUGCAGGCUACUCUGCUGGAGCCCUGGGAAGCCUCGUAACUUAAUAAGGUGAAAAGGCUUAGAGGAGUUUCUUUUCUCAUCUGUCAUUUAAAUGUACUUAUUAUUAUCAUUAUUAUUAUUAUUAUCAUCAUCAUUAUCAUUAUUACCAUUAUUGUAUAUGAAAGAAAUCAUCCACAUCAUGGUUGUGGAAGUCAGAGGACAGCUUUGUGGAGUCAAUUUUCUUCUCCCACUUUACGUGGGUUCCAGAAGUCAAACCUGGGUCACCAGGCUCAUGUAGUAAGCACUUUACCCACUGAGCCAUCUUGCUGGUCCAUCAUUUUAAUAUUAAAGUUAUUUACUAUUUAUUUAUUUAUUUAUUUAUUUAUUUAUUUAUUUAUUUAUUUUACCUUCUCCUUUUACCCCCUUCCUUUUAGUUAAAGCUGGUGGUUAAGAAAGGAAAACAAACUGAAAAUUUGUACAUAGGUGAGUCUGCAACCCCGCUUUGUAGCUUUUCACCUCCAUCCUUCCGUCACCUGGGCUGGUGAAGUCUCCCUUCCCUGACAGAGCCCAUCUCUCUAAGACAAGGUUAUCACCAAGCUCUAGAGCGGCCUUGCGCUUCCUUCCUUCCCAGAACAGGGCUGUUGCUAGGCUAUUGGGAGGUCAGAAAGCCUGAGGAGGGGAGGAGUGUAAAAUAGAAGCAGAUUGGAGGCAAGAAACUGUUUUUUAAGAUUUAUUUAUUUAUUUUAUAUAUGUGAGUACACUGUAGCUGUCUUCAGACACACCAGAAGAGGACAUAGGACCCCAUUAUAGAUGGUUGUGAGCUAUCGUGUGGUUUCUGGGAAUUGAACUCAGGACCUCUGGAAGAGCAGUCAGUGCUCUUAACUGCUGAGCCAUCUCUCCAGCCCCUGGAGGCAAGAACUCUUGUUGUGGACAUCCUUGAAUGCCCUGCGAAGCCCUCCAUGCUUCUGUGUGACACCAUUAUAUACACACUUCAGUGUUUUUGGAGCUCAAACCCUGGAAGUCAGGACUGAAGGUUCCUUAUUCUGAUAGGUUAUCCGCCAGGAGCCACUUAGCUGCAUGCAGCUCAAUGGAGCCCUUGCCUUAGCAUGCUGUAAGCCUGGGUUUGAUUCCUAGCACCACAAGAAGAAAGAAAAGGCUGCUGAGAUUACCAAAGAAAUAGAUGUCAGCUUGGAGGUGGAGCCCUGGAUACACAAGGCCCUGGGUCUGCUCCCUGUCAAAUGAAUGAACAAACAGUGGCUGUGGGUAGAAAUGGAUUUUCCUGGUAACUCUGUGGUGUUGGAAACACUCACCUCAAACUGAAUUUUCUCUCCCCAGAAUUAACCUUACCUCAGUUCUACAGCUUCCUGCACGAGAUGGAGAGAGUCAGAGCGAGCAUGGAGUGCCUCAGCUGAUCCUGUUUCCCCGAUGGCUACUCCAGGGUCC